RNAcentral lists this transfer RNA (66 nucleotides) under Benthomangelia sp. MNHN IM 2013-9652. Its description in RNAcentral is "tRNA-Asn". Lineage: Eukaryota; Metazoa; Mollusca; Gastropoda; Neogastropoda; Conidae. The record is from RNAcentral.
UAAAUGAAAGCCAAAAAGAGGCAUCUAUCUGUUAAUUAGAAAACUGUAAGAAUUUUACUCAUUUAA